RNAcentral lists this ribosomal RNA (61 nucleotides) under Haemophilus influenzae. Its description in RNAcentral is "partial 16S ribosomal RNA". The record is from RNAcentral. Lineage: Bacteria; Pseudomonadati; Pseudomonadota; Gammaproteobacteria; Pasteurellales; Pasteurellaceae.
ACUUGAAUUGAAGAGUUUGAUCAUGGCUCAGAUUGAACGCUGGCGGCAGGCUUAACACAUG